UGAGGAAUAUUGGUCAAUGGACGGAAGUCUGAACCAGCCAAGUAGCGUGCAGGAAGACGGCCCUAUGGGUUGUAAACUGCUUUUAUACGAGAAUAAUUUGAUGCACGUGUGCGUUAUUGCAUGUAUCGUAUGAAUAAGGACCGGCUAAUUCCGUGCCAGCAGCCGCGGUAAUACGGAAGGUCCAGGCGUUAUCCGGAUUUAUUGGGUUUAAAGGGAGUGUAGGCGGUUUGUUAAGCGUGUUGUGAAAUUUAGGUGCUCAACAUUUAACUUGCAGCGCGAACUGUCAGACUUGAGUACACGCAACGUAUGCGGAAUUCAUGGUGUAGCGGUGAAAUGCUUAGAUAUCAUGAAGAACUCCGAUUGCGAAGGCAGCAUACGGGAGUGUAACUGACGCUUAAGCUCGAAGGUGCGGGUAUCGAACAGGAUUAGAUACCCUGGUAGUCCGCACAGUAAACGAUGGAUGCCCGCUGUUAGCGCCUGGCGUUAGCGGCUAAGCGAAAGCAUUAAGCAUCCCACCUGGGGAGUACGCCGGNNCGGU
RNAcentral lists this ribosomal RNA (538 nucleotides) under uncultured bacterium. RNAcentral's name for it is "bacterial SSU rRNA". It matches the Rfam family "Bacterial small subunit ribosomal RNA", at positions 355 to 895 of the family's 1533-position model. The record is from RNAcentral.